This 402-nucleotide long non-coding RNA is filed under the name Gossypium raimondii (Peruvian cotton). RNAcentral's name for it is "long non-coding RNA (GRAI_LNC003182)". The record is from RNAcentral. Lineage: Eukaryota; Viridiplantae; Streptophyta; Magnoliopsida; Malvales; Malvaceae.
ACUGGAAUGGGGCUACUUGAAGAAGAAAAGCGUCAAAAUAAGUCGAAACUCGGUGAGACCGGGCAAAAUUGGUGUUUCUUAGUCUUUGCCCUAUUCUCGUUACACGACAACGAACAAAGAGGGGCAGCUGUAAAGCCCAUAUUUUGCCUGGGGCCCAAAACCAAGUAAACAAAAUAACAACAGUCCAUCAAACCUAAUAAAACAGUCUAAUUACAUUACAAAAAAUGGCCCAAACCCAAUUAGCCCAAUACCUAAAAAUAGAAAAAACAAAAGAAAACCCUAGCCGCCGCACCUAGCCCCUGACAGCCCCUGCCACCGCCAACUACUCUGCUGCCGUCGCACCAACUCCACUUGUCACCGCCCACUUGCACCUGCAAAAUCAAAACAGAAAAGACAGCAAAC